RNAcentral lists this ribosomal RNA (1234 nucleotides) under Bacillus spizizenii. RNAcentral describes it as "bacterial SSU rRNA". It matches the Rfam family "Bacterial small subunit ribosomal RNA", at positions 104 to 1323 of the family's 1533-position model. Lineage: Bacteria; Bacillati; Bacillota; Bacilli; Caryophanales; Bacillaceae. The record is from RNAcentral.
GGGUGAGUAACACGUGGGUAACCUGCCUGUAAGACUGGGAUAACUCCGGGAAACCGGGGCUAAUACCGGAUGCUUGUUUGAACCGCAUGGUUCAAACAUAAAAGGUGGCUUCGGCUACCACUUACAGAUGGACCCGCGGCGCAUUAGCUAGUUGGUGAGGUAAUGGCUCACCAAGGCGACGAUGCGUAGCCGACCUGAGAGGGUGAUCGGCCACACUGGGACUGAGACACGGCCCAGACUCCUACGGGAGGCAGCAGUAGGGAAUCUUCCGCAAUGGACGAAAGUCUGACGGAGCAACGCCGCGUGAGUGAUGAAGGUUUUCGGAUCGUAAAGCUCUGUUGUUAGGGAAGAACAAGUACCGUUCGAAUAGGGCGGUACCUUGACGGUACCUAACCAGAAAGCCACGGCUAACUACGUGCCAGCAGCCGCGGUAAUACGUAGGUGGCAAGCGUUGUCCGGAAUUAUUGGGCGUAAAGGGCUCGCAGGCGGUUUCUUAAGUCUGAUGUGAAAGCCCCCCGGCUCAACCGGGGAGGGUCAUUGGAAACUGGGGAACUUGAGUGCAGAAGAGGAGAGUGGAAUUCCACGUGUAGCGGUGAAAUGCGUAGAGAUGUGGAGGAACACCAGUGGCGAAGGCGACUCUCUGGUCUGUAACUGACGCUGAGGAGCGAAAGCGUGGGGAGCGAACAGGAUUAGAUACCCUGGUAGUCCACGCCGUAAACGAUGAGUGCUAAGUGUUAGGGGGUUUCCGCCCCUUAGUGCUGCAGCUAACGCAUUAAGCACUCCGCCUGGGGAGUACGGUCGCAAGACUGAAACUCAAAGGAAUUGACGGGGGCCCGCACAAGCGGUGGAGCAUGUGGUUUAAUUCGAAGCAACGCGAAGAACCUUACCAGGUCUUGACAUCCUCUGACAAUCCUAGAGAUAGGACGUCCCCUUCGGGGGCAGAGUGACAGGUGGUGCAUGGUUGUCGUCAGCUCGUGUCGUGAGAUGUUGGGUUAAGUCCCGCAACGAGCGCAACCCUUGAUCUUAGUUGCCAGCAUUCAGUUGGGCACUCUAAGGUGACUGCCGGUGACAAACCGGAGGAAGGUGGGGAUGACGUCAAAUCAUCAUGCCCCUUAUGACCUGGGCUACACACGUGCUACAAUGGACAGAACAAAGGGCAGCGAAACCGCGAGGUUAAGCCAAUCCCACAAAUCUGUUCUCAGUUCGGAUCGCAGUCUGCAACUCGACUGCGUGA